GACGUGAGGCUGUCCAGAGGGAGCAUCGACCGCGAGGACGGAAGUCUCCAGGGUCCGGCUUCUAACCAGCACAUUUAUCAGCCUGUGGGCAAACCAGAUCAUGCUGCCCCGCCCAAAAAGCCACCACGCCCUGGAGCUCCCAGCCACUUGGGCAGCCUCGCCAGCCUCAACAACCCUGUGGACAGCUACAACGAAGGGGUUAAGGUACAACCGCCACUUGGAAGACUUGC
Long non-coding RNA from Protobothrops mucrosquamatus (brown spotted pit viper), 230 nucleotides. RefSeq lists it as uncharacterized. The record is from RefSeq and is a predicted model, not a curated record. Lineage: Eukaryota; Metazoa; Chordata; Lepidosauria; Squamata; Viperidae. The transcript has 3 exons.